Molecule: ribosomal RNA, 274 nt
Filed under: uncultured bacterium
Lineage: Bacteria
Description: partial 16S ribosomal RNA
Rfam family: Bacterial small subunit ribosomal RNA
Source: RNAcentral
AUACGAAAGGUGCAAGCGUUGUUCGGAUUUACUGGGCGUAAAGAGAGUGUAGGUUGUUUAUUAAGUCGGAUGUGAAAUCCCGGGGCUCAACCUCGGAACUGCAUUCGAUACUGGUAGACUAGAGUUCGGGAGGGGUAAGCGGAAUUCCGUGUGUAGCAGUGAAAUGCGUAGAUAUACGGAGGAACACCUGAGGCGAAGGCGGCUUACUGGACCGAUACUGCCACUGAGACUCGAAAGCGUGGGUAGCAAACAGGAUUAGAAACCCUAGUAGUCC